Molecule: ribosomal RNA, 497 nt
Filed under: uncultured bacterium
Lineage: Bacteria
Description: partial 16S ribosomal RNA
Rfam family: Bacterial small subunit ribosomal RNA
Source: RNAcentral
GAUGAACGCUGGCGGCGUGCCUAAUACAUGCAAGUCGAGCGAACAGACGAGGAGCUUGCUCCUCUGACGUUAGCGGCGGACGGGUGAGUAACACGUGGAUAACCUACCUAUAAGACUGGGAUAACUUCGGGAAACCGGAGCUAAUACCGGAUAAUAUAUUGAACCGCAUGGUUCAAUAGUGAAAGACGGUUUUGCUGUCACUUAUAGAUGGAUCCGCGCCGCAUUAGCUAGUUGGUAAGGUAACGGCUUACCAAGGCAACGAUGCGUAGCCGACCUGAGAGGGUGAUCAGCCACACUGGAACUGAGACACGGUCCAGACUCCUACGGGAGGCAGCAGUGGGGAAUAUUCCGCAAUGGGCGAAAGCCUGACGGAGCAACGCCGCGUGAGUGAUGAAGGUCUUCGGAUUGUAAAACUCUGUUAUUAGGGAAGAACAAAUGUGUAAGUAACUAUGCACGUCUUGACGGUACCUAAACAGAAAGCAACGGCUAACUACGUG